This 253-nucleotide ribosomal RNA is filed under the name uncultured bacterium. Its description in RNAcentral is "partial 16S ribosomal RNA". It matches the Rfam family "Bacterial small subunit ribosomal RNA", at positions 524 to 776 of the family's 1533-position model. The record is from RNAcentral.
UACGUAGGGGGCAAGCGUUAUCCGGAUUUACUGGGUGUAAAGGGAGCGUAGACGGCAGCACAAGUCUGGAGUGAAAUCCCGGGGCUUAACCCCGGAACUGCUUUGGAAACUGUGCGGCUGGAGUGCAGGAGGGGUAAGCGGAAUUCCUAGUGUAGCGGUGAAAUGCGUAGAUAUUAGGAGGAACACCGGUGGCGAAGGCGGCUUACUGGCCUGUAACUGACACUGAGGCUCGAAAGCGUGGGGAGCAAACAGG